GACAGAGGCCUCGAGCGUUAGGCGGAAUCACUGGGCUUAAAGCGUGUGUAGGCGGGCCCGUAAGUGUCUUGUGAAAUCCCACGGCUCAACCGUGGAACUGCUGGGCAUACUGCGGGUCUGGGCCAACUAGGGGCAGCCGGAACAAGCGGUGGAGCGGUGAAAUGCGUAGAUAUCGCUUGGAACGCCGAAGGUGAAAAACAGGGCUGC
RNAcentral lists this ribosomal RNA (207 nucleotides) under uncultured bacterium. RNAcentral describes it as "partial 16S ribosomal RNA". It matches the Rfam family "Bacterial small subunit ribosomal RNA", at positions 524 to 729 of the family's 1533-position model. The record is from RNAcentral.